This 761-nucleotide unclassified non-coding RNA is filed under the name Triadica rotundifolia. RNAcentral's name for it is "partial contains small subunit ribosomal RNA, internal transcribed spacer 1, 5.8S ribosomal RNA, internal transcribed spacer 2, and large subunit ribosomal RNA". The stretch from base 339 to 494 matches the Rfam family "5.8S ribosomal RNA". Lineage: Eukaryota; Viridiplantae; Streptophyta; Magnoliopsida; Malpighiales; Euphorbiaceae. The record is from RNAcentral.
CACUGAACCUUAUCAUUUAGAGGAAGGAGAAGUCGUAACAAGGUUUCCGUAGGUGAACCUGCGGAAGGAUCAUUAUCGAAACCUGCCCAGCAGAACGACCAGUGAACAUUUUCAACAACCACGGGGCCACGUGGGCUUCGGUCCUCGUCGGACCCAUUGCGUCAUGGGGGGUGGAGCCGGCCGCAAGCAUCGUCUUGCAUCGUGCUCUUUCACCCAUGGCCUGUAACCAACCCCGGCGCGAGACGCGCCAAGCAAUCUAAACUAAAAGAGCACGCUCUCGCAGGGCCCCGGGAACGGUGAGCCCACGGGACGCGUCUUCCUCUUUUGAAAACCAAAAUGACUCUCGGCAACGGAUAUCUCGGCUCUCGCAUCGAUGAAGAACGCAGCGAAAUGCGAUACUUGGUGUGAAUUGCAGGAUCCCGCGAACCAUCGAGUCUUUGAACGCAAGUUGCGCCCAAAGCCUUUUGGCCGAGGGCACGUCUGCCUGGGUGUCACGCAACUGUCGCCCCCAAUCCCUCGCCUGUGCGUGGGCUGCGUGGGGCGGAUGCUGGCCUCCCGUGUGCUCCAUGCUCGCGGUUGGCCUAAAAUCGUAGUCCUCGGCGACGAUCGUCACGGCAAUCGGUGGUUGGAAGGCCCUCGGAUACUGCCGUGUACGACCGUCCGCUGGAAGGAAAAAUGGUGACCCGGCUGCGUCCUUAAAAGGCACGCUCGCUCUGCGACCCCAGGUCAGGCGGGAAUACCCGCUGAGUUUAAGCAUAUCA